RNAcentral lists this ribosomal RNA (502 nucleotides) under uncultured bacterium. RNAcentral describes it as "bacterial SSU rRNA". It matches the Rfam family "Bacterial small subunit ribosomal RNA", at positions 30 to 504 of the family's 1533-position model. The record is from RNAcentral.
UGAACGCUGGCGGCGUGCUUAACACAUGCAAGUCGCACGAGAAAUCUUUAGCUUGCUAGAGAGAGUAAAGUGGCGCACGGGUGAGUAACGCGUGGGUAAUCUACCCCCGAAUUGGGGAUAACAUUGCGAAAGCGAUGCUAAUACCGAAUGACAUUUUCAUUGUUUCGGCAUAGAAAAUCAAAGGUGGCCUCUUCAUGAAAGCUACCGUUUGGGGAUGAGCCCGCGUCCCAUUAGCUUGUUGGUGAGGUAACGGCUCACCAAGGCCGCGAUGGGUAGCUGGUCUGAGAGGAUGAUCAGCCACACUGGAACUGACACACGGUCCAGACUCCUACGGGAGGCAGCAGUGAGGAAUUUUGCGCAAUGGGGGAAACCCUGACGCAGCAACGCCGCGUGAGUGAUGAAGGCUUUCGGGUCGUAAAGCUCUGUCAAGUGGGAAGAACCUGUGAAGCGUUAAUACCGCUUCGCACUGACGGUACCACUGAAGGAAGCACCGGCUAACUCC